AUUACUAGUUGGACGGGUCUAACUCGGCUAGCAAGUUUACAAGUUUCCCUCAUCAGUAUGAAGUUAAACUGAGUGGAAAUAAAAUAAUAGUAAUACAAGUAAACUGCUUGAGGUUAGAUGGUUGAUAGUAUAAGUGCUGUUUCGGGUAUGCUGUAGUGCGAUACUAGUCAAAAUGUGAAUUUGGCGCGUCAUGUGUGCCAUAUAGAAAAUGCAUGCAUGCCCGCUUCAGACGGGCUUAACGUUCUUAUGAAGCUUUAUUAUUAUGAUUAUUAUUUGCUUAUGAUGAAACUCGCUUUCGCAUUGUACUCGUUUAACACUUAACGUUAGUUCUGCUUAACGUUACUUAGACUUACUAGACUGCGAGUAUCUUCCGAACGCUAACGUCUCUCAUUAAUGAUUAACGUUAACCCAAGCUAAGUGCGCGAAAGACAUAUCUUCACAUGAAGGCCCAAACACGUCUUGAAGUGACGUGCCUCAACACAUAUUUUAACAUAUCGCGUUUACCAGCAUGCCAUGUAAAGAAGUCGCAUGUUUAGAUUUAACGUUAUGUGAGCCAGUAUAUUAUAAAUAUCUUUGUCUUUUGUAGGAUGCGGUAACGUUACUGCUGAACAACUUUUCAGGGCAGGUUUUGAAUAAUCCAGGCACAUCAAAAAUUAACUCAAUGUGGAAAUGCAAAGACUGUGGCGUCACCAAAGCCAAGCGUUCUGAGCUUCUCAAGCAUUUUAAGCUUGAUCAUAGGCAUUUUGGACGUCAUCGUCCUUAUCCUUGUGUUUAUUCAGACUGUCCUUGUUCAUUUAAAACUUGGAGUUCUCUGAAGAGCCAUGUGUCAAGGAGGCAUCCUCAACAUCCCCCUCAAAAAGAUGCAUUGACAACUUAUAAAUGCAUGCUUUGUGAAUACAAACACACAUCAUUGUUUAAAGAUUACUUCCAUCACAUUGGGCAGCACCUGAAAAAUAAUGAAACUGUUCCUUGUGUUUUUAGUGGGUGCUCAUACAAAACCAAUAUUUCUGGAUCAUUUAGAACGCACAAGGCAAGAAAACACAAAUCGUUCUCCGAAGAGGACUUAAAGCCUGGCAUUGUUGUCAGUGAAAGACCAGUCCCUAUUUUUUCUGCAGAAGAUGACAUUGAAUCUGAUGAAUAUGUCUCAGCUGAUGAACCCACAUCCUCUGUUGUAAUAACAGAAAAUACUGAAGACUUGUCCAAAGCUAUAGAGCGCAAAUUAGCCUCAGUCCUAUUAAAGUUAGAGCAUGUUUUUCUUGUACCUGGUGUGGCCAUUGAUGACCUUUUGCAGGAGUUGCAGUAUUUAAUUAGUACAGUUUCAGUUCCAGAUGUUAAUCAAACUAUUCACCAGGUACUGCAGGAACAUAAUUUGCAGGUUGAUAAAGUUGUUGUAGAUGAGUUAGCCACCUUUCUUUGCCAGUCACAUCCAAUUCAAACAGCAAUCAGAGAGCAAGGUCCACUUUCCACUACAUGGAAACGGAAGGCAUACUACAAAGCCAAUUUUUCAGUAGUAAAGCCUGUAGAGUAUGUGCUUGAUCGGAGCGAUGGAAGGACAUUUCAGUACGUUCCAAUUCUACAAUCCCUGCAGCAACUUCUGAGUUGCCAGCCAAUACUUGAUAAUACACAUCAUUUAAAAUCAGUGUAUAAAGGAGAUGAAUCUAAAUAUACAUGUUUUUUUGAUUCACUCAACUUCCAAAGGAAUGAACUGCUUUCUGAACCUGCUAUAUCUUUAAUUUUGUAUGUUGAUGAAUUUGAGAUAUGUAACCCCCUUGGCACAUCCAGGAAAAAACACAAAGUUUUUGGAGUUUAUUGGAUAUUAGGCAAUUUACGUGAAGGAUGUCAGUCAUCCCUGUCUUCUAUAAAUUUAGCUGCUUUAAUUAAAAGCAGUGAUGUUAAGCGUUUUGGGUAUGACAAAGUGCUGGAACCAUUGAUUGAUGAUCUUGUCACGUUGGAGAGACAUGGACUUUUCAUUGAAAAACUGGGAAAAAUUGUGAAGGGCACAGUUCAAUGUAUUGUUGCCGACAAUCUUGGUGCUCACAGUAUUGCAGGAUUUGUGGAAAAUUUCUCUGGAAAAUAUGUCUGCAGAUUUUGUACAGCAGAGAAAGAAGAAUAUCAGACUAAAGAAGUUGGAUCAGAAACAUUCCGCAUCAGAACUGAAGAACUACAUUCUGCUCAUCUUCAGUUUAUCAAAGACAAUGACUUGCCUCACCAUUUUGGUGUAAAAGGUGAUUGUGUUUUUUCAGAUAAAUUAUCACACUUCAAUGUUUGCACAGGAUUCCCGGCUGAUAUUGUGCAUGAUCUCUUUGAGGGCAUUGUCCCUCUUGAGAUAGCUUUGUCCUUGACUGUCUUUUCAUCUAAAAAGUAUUUCACCUUGGAACACCUUAAUAAAGCAAUUCAGAACUUUCCAUUCAAAUGGAAUGACAAGAGAAACCACCCCCAUACUGUUCCUCUCACAUUUUCUGCAAGAAGAACAAUAGGGGGUAAUGCCCAUGAAAAUUGGAGCCUGUUGAGAUUUUUUCCUUUUUUGAUUGGAGACAGAGUGCCUGUCAAUGAACCUGCAUGGCAACUUCUAAAUGAUUUAAAAGAUAUUGUAGAUCUUGUUGUCGCUCCUUCACACACCAAAGCUUCUAUAGCGUAUCUGGCCUUCAAGAUAUCUGAGCAUAGGAUCAGAUUCCAAGAGCUUUUCCCUGAGACUAAACUUUUGCCCAAACACCACUUGUUGCUUUGUGGACAAUGCAAUUCGAGGCUAAGCAUAGCUUCUUUAAAAGAGUUGUGCGUCAUACCAACUGCUUCAAGAAUGUGCUCCUAUCGUUGUCACAAAGACAUCAGUUUCAUAUGGCAUAUCAUAUGUAUCAGUGCAGCUCUCUUACACCAAGAUUGGAAGUUUCGCAUGUUUCUAAUCUUCCCAUUGAUGUUCUGAAUGAAGACAUAUCACAGACUGUAAAACAGAAACACCCAAACCUGGAUGUUGUGUGCUUGGCCAAGGAAGUAACAUUUAAAGGCUUCAGCUACAGAGAAAGUAUGGUCAUUGCUCAUGGCGAAUGUUCAGGGCUUCCAGAGUUUGGCGAAAUUUUGCAAAUUAUUGUGUUGCAGGACAAACCACUGUUCAUUGUCAGGAGACUAGAUGCAUGGUAUACUGAACAUUACAGAGCCUAUGUCUUGGUCCAGUCAUCUGACAAGAAAAUUGAACUUUUAGAGCACCAUGAUCUUACAGACCCAUAUCCACUGGUUCAGUACACAAUUGGGGGGAGACGCAUGGUGGCUCUGAAGAGAUAUAUACAUGUGUAAGAAUCUGUUAAGGAUGUCAGGAAGAAGAUCUGCCAAGCUUUUGGUGAUUGUGAGUGAAGAUGAUUCAAGAAAGUUGCUUCUGCCAGAUGGGAUUCCCGAAUCAGUGGAUGAGCUCGUUGAAAAAGUGAGGGAAGCUUGUGGAUUAAAGGGUAAAUUCAGACUACAGUAUCAGGACAAAGAUUUUGGGGAUGUAUUUGUAAAUUUGACAAACACUGGAGAACUUCAGAGUCUUUGCACUCUAAAGAUAAUCCCUUUGCCAGACGAAGAAUCAUUCACUGUUCAAACAAAUGAUGGGACCCAGUCUAACGAUGAUACUCUGUCCUCCUUUGGCUCUGGCGACACUGAUGAUACUAUCAUCCUCUCACCCCCUGGCUCGGAAACAGUUUCUACAAGAAAUCAACAGUGGCCAAAGGAAUUUAAUAUUCCACGCUUUUCUUAUGACACUGAACUCCAAUUAGAGAGAGGAAAUUCUCUUUUUAAGGCUAACGGAACAAGGCUGACUGUCGCUCCAAAGAUGAAGUCUGAUAUUCUGGAGAAGAUAUGUGAUGAGAUCUACAAGUAUAAAUCUUAUCCCAGCAGUGCAAACUUCUGCGAAGUUUCAGAGGCACUUAUCAAGAAACACCCUUGCUUGGCAGAAAAAGGAUCCUUCAAUGGUUGCUACGGGUGGACACAGAGAUUUAAAAUGAAGAUGGGAAACCUACGCACACAGUUGAAAGGUCUUGGAUGCCCUGAGUUUUUGGCAAAUUCCCUGAAAACCAAAGCCUCGGAUAAUGCUUUUCCAGCAAAAAAUGUUAAACGACCUAAACGUGGCGAGGCCAAUCAUAUCCCAUCCGUACCUGCUGGAGUGUCAUCAGAAAACCUUGAAACUGAGCGCCUGGCACUUUUAAAGGAAGUGAAGAAAAGAAACAACGCAUGCACAAUCAGAGAAAAAAUGACAAAGACGUUUGCCUUACGCAGACGAGAAGUUGUGGAAAACCAACCUAGUGUUCAGGAACUGCAAGAAAGGUGGCCAGCUCUGUUUCAACAAGAGGAGAUUAAUGCUGAAUUUUUGCGCAUCACGACUUUACCUUUACAAUCGAGAUUUUUGGCUUCUUUGGACAGACAGAGCUCUCAGCUUCUCCAGGUUAUUAGAAGCAAAGGUGGAGUCCUCCGUGAAAAAACUAAAGACACUAUUAAAGUUAUGGAUCAGAGUCUGGACAUAGACAUCAGAAGAGAGUGCCUGCUGAAGUGCCUCAUCAUGUACCUUGGUGAAGAUGCAAGCUGUCUGAUCAAAGAAUACCAGGUAAUGUUGACAUUGCAAACCACUGAAAUUUUGAACUAGCCCUUUAAAGGAGUAGUUGACCUUCAAAAUGAAAAUUCUGUCAUCAUUUACACACCCUCUUGUCGUUUCAAACCUGUGUGACUUUCUUUCAUCCGCAGAACACAAAAUAUAUUUUUAAGAAUGUUGUUAACAGCCCCCCAUUCACUUGCAUUGGUUUUGUGUCCAUAAAAUAGAAGUGAAUGGGAGCUGUGCUAUUCUGUUACCAACAUUGUUCAAAAUUCUGCAGAAGAAAAAGGUCAUACAGGCAUGAAAUUACAUCUGUAGAUGAUGAUGACAGAAUUUUCAUAUUGAAAGUCAACUACAAGUGCUAGUUCACCCAAAAAUGAUAAUUCUGUCAUUUACUCGGUCCAAACCUGUAUGACU
RNA transcript from Triplophysa rosa, 4972 nucleotides. RefSeq lists it as uncharacterized. NCBI's taxonomy places the organism in Eukaryota, Metazoa, Chordata, Actinopteri, Cypriniformes, Nemacheilidae. The transcript has 5 exons. The record is from RefSeq and is a predicted model, not a curated record.